UGGUUAAGUUAGAAAGGGCGCACGGUGAAUGCCUUGGCACUAGGAGCCGAUGAAGGACGGGACUAACACCGAUAUGCUUCGGGGAGCUGUAAGUAAGCUUUGAUCCGGAGAUUUCCGAAUGGGGAAACCCACUGUUCGUAAUGGAGCAGUAUCUUUAUCUGAAUAUAUAGGAUAUUGAAGGCAGACCCGGGGAACUGAAACAUCUAAGUACCCGGAGGAAGAGAAAGCAAAUGCGAUUUCCUGAGUAGCGGCGAGCGAAACGGAAUUAGCCCAAACCAAGAGGCUUGCCUCUUGGGGUUGUAGGACACUCUAUACGGAGUUACAAAGGAACGAGGUAAAUGAAGAGGUCUGGAAAGGCCCGUCAAAGAAGGUAACAACCCUGUAGUUGAAACUUCGUUCCCUCUUGAGUGGAUCCUGAGUACGGCGGAACACGUGAAAUUCCGUCGGAAGCUGGGAGGACCAUCUCCCAAGGCUAAAUACUCCCUAGUGACCGAUAGUGAACCAGUACCGUGAGGGAAAGGUGAAAAGCACCCCGGAAGGGGAGUGAAAGAGAACCUGAAACCGUGUGCCUACAAGUAGUCAGAGCCCGUUAAUGGGUGAUGGCGUGCCUUUUGUAGAAUGAACCGGCGAGUUA
RNAcentral lists this ribosomal RNA (634 nucleotides) under Priestia flexa. Its description in RNAcentral is "bacterial LSU rRNA". It matches the Rfam family "Bacterial large subunit ribosomal RNA", at positions 1 to 630 of the family's 2925-position model. Lineage: Bacteria; Bacillati; Bacillota; Bacilli; Caryophanales; Bacillaceae. The record is from RNAcentral.